CCUCAUAAUACAACCUUCUCUUCCCCCUUCCUUCCCUACCUCCCCACCUGAAUGUAACUAUACUUUGCACAGUCCUCCUAUCCUUAUUCUUUCCCACCUCAGUAUACCUCUACCUCAAAAUCCCAGCCUUCUUCUGUCACUCCCCAGACCCUUAAAUCACCUCCUGACAUUUCUACCUUCCCACACUCUGCCUAAAAUCUCUAGCCCACCACCCCCCAGACACAACUUUUCCCCUGCCCUGCCUCUCUACCUCAUACCUACAUCCACAUCUUUCCCCAUCCCCUGACCUAUAUAUCAUGUCCACUCCCACCCCUGCCUUCUGUCAGGUCCCAGCAGCCUGACCUGCUCCUUAAGAGAGAAAGAAGUUAACUAGAUGGCAGUCGGGGGAAGUGGAAAGAUGGUUCAGGAGCCUAUAUGGAUCAGACUGAAACUGAAUCAAUAUCCCCAUAUCAGCCCUCAAGCAAGAAAUUGUGAAAAU
Molecule: long non-coding RNA, 478 nt
Organism: Mus musculus (house mouse)
Lineage: Eukaryota; Metazoa; Chordata; Mammalia; Rodentia; Muridae
Product: predicted gene, 41891
Exons: 3
Source: RefSeq, a predicted model, not a curated record